Molecule: non-coding RNA, 87 nt
Organism: Daucus carota subsp. sativus
Lineage: Eukaryota; Viridiplantae; Streptophyta; Magnoliopsida; Apiales; Apiaceae
Source: Rfam
AUUACCCCCAGAGGUUCUCCAAACACUUCAUUGGGAAUUACUUCUAUUUGUUCCCACUGAAGUGUUUGGGGGAACUCCAGGGGUCAU